CAUGGUGUCAGGCACAGGCUGAGACAGGGGAUAGAGGCAGAAACACAGAGCCCCACCCACUUGGCAUGGACCCAGCUUGUGUGCCCUUUACUGAAAACAAUCCAAGAUCAUGAAUACAAAAGUGCUGUGGAACAUGUUUAUAUCGUCAUGCAGUCUCUGGACCUGUGCCUUUGUACGUGAUGCUGGAGUAGUCGGGACGGUGGGCCGUAAGAGUAUUCCGCAGAAGUGACUGUGCAGUGCUUUUGUAAAAUAGCCGCUAAAUACAAGUUAAAUCCAUCCCACAGCCACUCCUGACACCUGCAUGAAGAGAUGUGACACAGAGGGGCAGAUGGAUGGAGAACGAUGGCAGUGUUAAUGAAUUGUAUUUAAAUAUCUUAUUUUUGACAAGUCGUGACCAUAGGCACACAUUAGUGGGGCCCGUGUCAGGGCCUUCGGAAAGAGCUGGGCAAGAGAGAAGCACUGAGGCUAGAGCAUCCUCAGUCCACCUCUGUUCGCCCACAGAGCUCAUACUGGAGGGAGGGAGAAGGAGAGAGAGUAGUAGACAGGCCGCGGCAGAAUAACAUGAUCGUUCCAUGCCAGAAGGAAGCACAGGGAAGUGGAGAAUCAGAGAGGAGGGGUCCUGGGUCAGCCCGGGGGGCAGGGAAGGCAUCCUUGGGGAGAUGGUGUCCAAACUGAAACCCAAAUGGUGACCAGUUCUUAGCCAGACAAACCAGGUGAGAGAGGCGUUUCAGGUGGAGGGCACAGCACGAGCAAGGGUCUAGAGUUGUAGUCCAGACAUAGAGUCUAGAAAUGCAAAAGCAUUCGGUAUGGCUGGAACUCAGAGUGCCAGGAGAGGAGUGCAGAGAAAAGAGGCUUAGUAGAAAAGCAGGGCUGAGGUCACAAGGCACCUGGACUACCAUACUAAGGGGACUCUACCCUGGGUGAUGGGGACGUAUUGAAAGAUGGAGGUGAGAUUUGCAUUUAGAAAGCUCACUUGAAACAGUGUUGAAUUGAACAGGAGUGGGGUAAGACUGGGCUGAUGCAGUAGUACGGGUAAGAGUAGCUGUGUGUGAGAAGGGGAGGUCCGAAUAUUAGGAAAAAGUAAGGAAUAGAGGGGAAAAAAUACUUUGGGUGAGUGGGGAUUUCCAAGGAUAAUAAUCCAAGUGUCUGAGUCUAUAUGACGUUAAGAGAGGAGAGGAAGAGCAGCAGAUUUGCUGGGGAAGAUGAUGAGCUGCUCGAGGUUCUUACAGGACGUCUCGCGAAGAUGCCCUGCGAAGGGGCACCAGAUGCACCCACGGUGCUGGAGAGGGAUCUGCCAUAGUGGUGACUUUCAGAAGUCAGUGAAGCCACAACAUGGACGAGCUCUUCACAGGAGAGAGUGUGGCAUGAAAGUGUCAAGGACACAGCACCAAACCCCGGAACACUAACGUUGAAGUCCAAGAAGAGGAGGAAUGUGCACAGGCGACCUGGAAGAAAUGGGGAAGUGCAGGAGAAAGAUGAGUCUCUAGGGAAGUUUUCCUCAGUUUGGGCGUGAUCCGAGAACAGGAUAGAUCAGAGCUUCCAAGGAACACUUGGUGGUUGGGGAAGCCCGAGUAAUGGGAAACACGUUUUCCAUUUCACAGUUCCAGGUGAAUACAGAUAUUGAUCAUCUCAGUUAAUUUGCCAGAAUAAUGCUGUGUGGCAUAACACAACAAAAGUUUAUUUCCUACACAUAGUUCAUAUCUACCAUGGGUCAGUGGGAGUUCUCUCCACAUGGUUGCUCAGGAUCCAGGCUGACAGAAAGUCCACCAUCUUGAAGCUACACCAUCUGGAAUAUUUGGCUUCCUCAGUCACUUUAGUGGGAAAGGGAGAGGCAUUGUGUCAUGUCCUGGCUCUACAAUGCUUUGUCCCAGAAGAGAGAUGGACCACUUUGAUUCACAGCCCUUUGGGCAGGACUAGUCGUGCAGCCCCAUCUAAUUGCCUGGGGGUUGGACCUGUGCAGGAAUACAUCCAUAUAUGGUGGGCGGUACGUGUCCCUGCCACACUCCACAUCAUAUAAAUCCAAAGUCUCAAAAGGCACUUUAGGUCAGAAAAUGUAAACAAAAUAACAAUAAAACGCCUUACAAUUAAUAUUAACAAAUAAUAGUAAAAUACUUCUAUCAAAAAUUAUCUAAGCAAAUAUAAAUGGAAAUACAUCUAUGUCUGGUUUUAUUGGAAGCAAUUACUUUUCUUCAAAUCCUAUUUAUUUACAUUUUGACGUAUUAUUUGUAACAUUAAUUGUAAUACCACAUUGACGUUACAUUUAUAUAUUUUCUAAUAUUAAUUUGAUUAAGAGUAACGAGGGUAUUUUUUAUUGUUAUUGUGAAGUAUAGGAAAUUUAGAAAAUUACAGUCUUAAAAAGUUUUAACUAUUUUGCUUUUGCUGUAAAACUCAAUCUCAGCGUAUUUUAAAUAUGUCAUGAUAUGUUUCUAUCUUUGCUUUCUGUAGUAAGUGCACAAAUACUGCAGAUCUGAAAGACACAGUCAGGUAUAAAGAACUGAGUUUCAACAAAAACUUAAUUUACCAAUAGAUGUUUUUUUCUCAUUCCAACAUAUAAGAAAAUUGCU
RNAcentral lists this long non-coding RNA (2564 nucleotides) under Equus caballus (horse). RNAcentral describes it as "lncRNA (ENSECAG00000051933.1)". The record is from RNAcentral. Lineage: Eukaryota; Metazoa; Chordata; Mammalia; Perissodactyla; Equidae.